RNAcentral lists this ribosomal RNA (460 nucleotides) under uncultured bacterium. RNAcentral describes it as "partial 16S ribosomal RNA". It matches the Rfam family "Bacterial small subunit ribosomal RNA", at positions 338 to 795 of the family's 1533-position model. The record is from RNAcentral.
CCUACGGGAGGCAGCAGUGAGGAAUAUUGGUCAAUGGGCGUAAGCCUGAACCCGCCAAGUCGCGUGAGGGAUGAAGGUUCUAUGGAUCGUAAACCUCUUUUAUAAGGGAAUAAAGUGUGGGACGUGUCCUGUUUUGUAUGUACCUUAUGAAUAAGGAUCGGCUAACUCCGUGCCAGCAGCCGCGGUAAUACGGAGGAUCCGAGCGUUGUCCGUAUUUAUUGGGUUUAAAGGGUGCGUAGGCGGCCUCUUAAGUCAGCGGUGAAAGUCUGUGGCUCAACCAUAGAAUUGCCGUUGAAACUGGGAGGCUUGAGUAUGUUUGAGGCAGGCGGAAUGCGUGGUGUAGCGGUGAAAUGCUUAGAUAUCACGCAGAACCCCGAGUGCGAAGGCAGCCUGCCAAGCCAUGACUGACGCUGAUGCACGAAAGCGUGGGGAUCAAACAGGAUUAGAUACCCCAGUAGUC